Oncorhynchus masou masou (cherry salmon) is the source of this 820-nucleotide long non-coding RNA. RefSeq lists it as uncharacterized. The record is from RefSeq and is a predicted model, not a curated record. NCBI's taxonomy places the organism in Eukaryota, Metazoa, Chordata, Actinopteri, Salmoniformes, Salmonidae. The transcript has 4 exons.
UUUUUGUAUUAUAAUAAUGACUUUAUAAGGUAGUCUCUGUCUCUGUUUAACAGUCUGUCACCAGAGACCAAUGUCUAGGUAGUCUCAGAACCCAGUACCACUAGCUCGCUAUGUGAUUUAUGACUUUAUAAGGUAGUCUCUGUCUCUGUUUAACAGUCUGUCACCAGAGACCAAUGUCUAGGUAGUCUCAGAACCCAGUACCACGAGCUAGCUAUGUGAUUUAUGACUUUAUAAUGUAGUCUCUGUCUCUGUUUAACAGUCUGUCACCAGAGACCAAUGUCUAGGUAGUCUCAGAACCCAGUACCACGAGCUAGCUAUGUGAUUUAUGACUUUAUAAGGUAGUCUCAGAACCCAGUACCACGAGCUAGCUAUGUGAUUUAUGACUUUAUAAGGUAGUCUCUGUCUCUGUUUAACAGUCUGUCACCAGAGACCAAUGUCUAGGUAGUCUCAGAACCCAGUACCACGAGCUCGCUAUGUGAUUUAUGACUUUAUAAGGUAGUCUCAGAACCCAGUACCACGAGCUAGCUAUGUGAUUUAUGACUUUAUAAGGUAGUCUCUCUCUGUUUAACAGUCUGUCACCAGAGACCAAUGUCUAGGUAGUCUCAGAACCCAGUACCACGAGCUCGCUAUGUGAUUUAUGACUUUAUAAGGUAGUCUCAGAACCCAGUACCACGAGCUCGCUAUGUGAUUUAUGGAGUCCGUCAACUCAUACAUAUUUAGGUAACUUUAACCCGACGUUAGCCUCCGCUGCCACAUUAACCCAACAGAACGCAGAGCCAUAACAGUCCAUCUCUCUCUGCUCUGAUGUCACAUCGGGUUU